CCUACGGGUGGCUGCAGUGGGGAAUAUUGGGCAAUGGGCGCAAGCCUGACCCAGCAACGCCGCGUGAAGGAAGAAGGCUCUCGGGUUGUAAACUUCUUUUAUCAGGGACGAAGCAAGUGACGGUACCGGAAGAAUAAGCCACGGCUAACUACGGGCCAGCAGCCGCGGUAAUACGUAGGUGGCAAGCGUUAUCCGGAUUUACUGGGUGUAACGGGCGUGUAGGCGGGAAAGCAAGUCAGAUGUGAAAACCCUGGGCUCAACCGGUGGCCUGCAUUUGAAACGGUUUUUCUUGAGUACUGGAGCGGCCGCCGGAAUUCCUAGUGUAGCGGUGACAUGCGUAGAUAUUAGGAGG
This 352-nucleotide ribosomal RNA is filed under the name uncultured bacterium. RNAcentral's name for it is "partial 16S ribosomal RNA". It matches the Rfam family "Bacterial small subunit ribosomal RNA", at positions 338 to 704 of the family's 1533-position model. The record is from RNAcentral.